AUACGGAGGGUGCAAGCGUUAUUCGGAAUCACUGGGCGUAAAGGACGCGUAGGCGGGUUGGCAAGUCAGAUGUGAAAUCCUACAGCUUAACUGUAGAACUGCAUUUGAAACUGCUAACCUAGAGUAUGGGAGGGGGAGAUGGAAUUAGUGGUGUAGGGGUAAAAUCCGUAGAUAUCACUAGGAAUACCGAAAGCGAAGGCAAUCUUCUGGAACACUACUGACGCUAAGGCGUGAAAGCGUGGGGAGCAAACAGGAUUAGAAACCCUUGUAGUCC
RNAcentral lists this ribosomal RNA (274 nucleotides) under uncultured bacterium. RNAcentral's name for it is "partial 16S ribosomal RNA". It matches the Rfam family "Bacterial small subunit ribosomal RNA", at positions 523 to 796 of the family's 1533-position model. The record is from RNAcentral.